Bactrocera dorsalis (oriental fruit fly) is the source of this 1180-nucleotide long non-coding RNA. RefSeq lists it as uncharacterized. Lineage: Eukaryota; Metazoa; Arthropoda; Insecta; Diptera; Tephritidae. The record is from RefSeq and is a predicted model, not a curated record. The transcript has 2 exons.
CAGACGUGUUUAUAGCGACCCUAAAAUAAUGGAGAAAGACAGACAAGAAACUAUAAACAGACUCCUAGCGAAACAAAACGCAGACCUUACAUACCAUAACAAGAACAGAUCACCUCCAAGCACAUAUGCGGAAGGAGAUAUCAUAAAUUGUUGCGAAAAAUUUUAAUACAACAGUAGUAACUAAAUCAGGUAGAGUAGUUCAUAAAAGUAACAUUAAAUAGAAAUGCAUGAGUAAAUAGGAAUUUAAGCACAUAAAAUUUCUUCUUUAAUAGGAAAAAUGAAUACGGGGGAAAUCAUGACAAUCAUGCUGGUAUAGGGUGAUUUUUUAAGAGCUUGAUAACUUUUUUUAAAAAAAAAACGCAUAAAAUUUGCAAAAUCUCAUCGGUUCUUUAUUUGAAACGUUAGAUUGGUUCAUGACAUUUACUUUUUGAAGAUAAUUUCAUUUAAAUGUUGACCGCGGCUGCGUCUUAGGUGGUCCAUUCCGAAAGUCCAAUUUUGGGCAACUUUUUCGAGCAUUUCGGCCGGAAUAGCCCGAAUUUCUUCGGAAAUGUUGUCUUCCAAAGCUGGAAUAGUUGCUGGCUUAUUUCUGUAGACUUUAGACUUGACGUAGCCCCACAAAAAAUAGUCUAAAGGCGUUAAAUCGCAUGAUCUUGGUGGCCAACUUACGGGUCCAUUUCUUGAGAUGAAUUGUUGUCCGAAGUUUUCCCUCAAAAUGGCCAUAGAAUCGCGAGCUGUGUGGCAUGUAGCGCCAUCUUGUUGAAACCACAUGUCAACCAAGUUCAGUUCUUCCAUUUUUGGCAACAAAAAGUUUGUUAGCAUCGAACGAUAGCGAUCGCCAUUCACCGUAACGUUGCGUCCAACAGCAUCUUUGAAAAAAUACGGUCCAAUGAUUCCACCAGCGUACAAACCACACCAAACAGUGCAUUUUUCGGGAUGCAUGGGCAGUUCUUGAACGGCUUCUGGUUGCUCUUCACCCCAAAUGCGGCAAUUUUGCUUAUUUACGUAGCCAUUCAACCAGAAAUGAGCCUCAUCGCUGAACAAAACACGCGCGCGAAACACAUUUCGAACCGAACACUGAUUUUGGUAAUAAAAUUCAAUGAUUUGCAAGCGUUGCUCGUUAGUAAGUCUAUUCAUGAUGAAAUGUCAAAGCAUACUGAGCAUCUUUCUCUUUGACACCAUG